RNAcentral lists this unclassified non-coding RNA (159 nucleotides) under uncultured Leptosphaeria. Its description in RNAcentral is "sequence contains ITS1". Lineage: Eukaryota; Fungi; Ascomycota; Dothideomycetes; Pleosporales; Leptosphaeriaceae. The record is from RNAcentral.
CAAAACUAGCAUUUGGCUCUGCCACUGCCAGUACCCUUGUCUAUGCGUACCGUAUGUUGUUCCCUCGGUGGGGUCUCCCCGCCGCUGGGCUCUUGAUAAACUCCAUUUUGCAGCUAAAAAGCAGUACACCUGUCUGAUUGUGGGCUUUGAAAACUAUUA